This 660-nucleotide long non-coding RNA is filed under the name Homo sapiens (human). RNAcentral's name for it is "HSALNT0047761". Lineage: Eukaryota; Metazoa; Chordata; Mammalia; Primates; Hominidae. The record is from RNAcentral.
CUGCCAUGACCCGUACAUGCAUUUCAGGACUGAUUAAAAGGGCCAAGAUUCACAGUUUAAAAAUCCUGCCCUAAAAGCUUUCUGUUUGUUCUGUGACUUUACUUGCUGGCCACAUAGAUAGUGACAUCAUCCAAAUUUACAUCUCCACCAGAGUGACACACUUUACUUUUGCUCAUACUUCGUUGACCAAAGCAAGCCACAUGGCCAUUCUAACUUCAAACGGACCCACUCAACUUCUCCAAGUGGGUGUCUGAAAGAUGAUGAACUGAGACCAAGAAAAGACCCACUAAAGAUCAAAAAUUGCAGAGAACAAUAUUUCAAGAGGUACGUCUUGGACAUAAACACUGGAACCAUCAGAGAAGCUUCUACAAAACACAGAUGCCUGGGACCUGUACUUAUCAACUGUCACUUUUAAUUGGCCAGGGGUGAGCCUUAAACAAGACCAGUAUUUUGUAAAAACUGCCCGACGUGAUGGUAAUUUGCAGCUAGGAUUGGAACACUCUGGUAUUACACAACAGACUUCAGGACUUUAUGAACUUUCAAACUACCCUUUACAAAUUGAAGUGGAACCAUAUGGCAGUAGCUCCUGCCAGAAAGCAGCCAGUGACAAGAAGAAUCUUGAUUGAUAUGCAUUAAAAAAAAUGCUGGGAAAAAAGGAAG